GACGUUGGUCCUACAGAGCCAGAAGGACUCGUCAUGUGAGAUAACAAGGGCUGAAGCCAGUUGGAUCUAAAGUGCCAAGUUAUUCGUUAUCAGGUGUUCCUGGACAGUUUUGAAACCGAGAUGUCUGAACGCCUCAAAUAAUCAGCAGUAAAGACAACAGAGACAAAUUCUCUAAUACCAAGGUCAAUGCAUUUGACUGCUGUCCAGCCCUGGGUUGCCACCGAAAACUUUAUGCAUCUUGGACUGGAAGAUGGUGUGCUAGUAAGGAAGCUAGCUACCACAGCUUUUGCCACCACAUCUCAGUGUUGGGAGGGAAGUUCACUCAGUGCACAACUCUACCAGCUGUACCUUUCCUCCUCAGCCAUGAUCCGUAACCACCAUGGUUUUCUUUCUGGGCCAGAAGACUUUGCAAACAAAUAAGCAAUA
This is a long non-coding RNA of Alosa sapidissima (American shad), 426 nucleotides long. RefSeq lists it as uncharacterized. The transcript is spliced from 3 exons. Lineage: Eukaryota; Metazoa; Chordata; Actinopteri; Clupeiformes; Clupeidae. The record is from RefSeq and is a predicted model, not a curated record.